AACGAACGCUGGCGGCAUGCCUAACACAUGCAAGUCGAACGAGACCUUCGGGUCUAGUGGCGCACGGGUGCGUAACGCGUGGGAACCUGCCCUUAGGUUCGGCAUAACUCCCCGAAAGGGGUGCUAAUACCGGAUAAUGUCUUCGGACCAACGAUUUAUCGCCUUUGGAUGGGCCCGCGUUGGAUUAGCUAGUUGGUAGGGUAAAAGCCUACCAAGGCGACGAUCCAUAGCUGGUCUGAGAGGAUGAUCAGCCACACUGGGACUGAGACACGGCCCAGACUCAGCGGGGAGGAGGAGGGGGGAAAUAUUGGAGAGGGGGAAAAAGAGUAACAAAGAAAGGCGGGGGGAGAAAAAAAGGCGUUGGGGUUGAAAGGUUUUUUUCCCGGGGAUAAAAAGAAAAGAACGGGGAAAAAAAGCGCGGACAAACCCGGGG
This 433-nucleotide ribosomal RNA is filed under the name uncultured bacterium. RNAcentral's name for it is "partial 16S ribosomal RNA". It matches the Rfam family "Bacterial small subunit ribosomal RNA", at positions 30 to 507 of the family's 1533-position model. The record is from RNAcentral.